Eriocheir sinensis (Chinese mitten crab) is the source of this 8166-nucleotide RNA transcript. RefSeq lists it as uncharacterized. The record is from RefSeq and is a predicted model, not a curated record. The transcript is spliced from 28 exons. Lineage: Eukaryota; Metazoa; Arthropoda; Malacostraca; Decapoda; Varunidae.
UGCUGUUAAAAAGGCAAAACUCCCGCCCGAGAAAUCUCAAACCACCUGUAACAUCAAGAUCAAAAUUAGUAAACAAACAUCAGCUGACCGCCACGCCUCGCCCACGCGGAUAACAUGCACACAAUAAGGAUGAAAUAGGAACAAAUGAUGUGAGCAUUAAGGAUGGCAGACUUAGAGGAGACCUGGACCGAGCAGAGUUUCUACAACAAGCCGCUGUCCGUGUGGCUGGGGCGGGAGGAUGGCCCGGAGCCCCUCACGCUUGACAUCUUCACCGCAGCCUCCAUUGGGUGUUGCCAGCAGAUGAAGAAUAUUAUUGCUGAAGACAAAGACUUCUGUAACCAUAAGAACAGCGGAGGAUGGACAGCGCUUAUGUACGCCGCCUACUAUGGUCACACCGAUGCCCUGAGGCUGCUGCUGGGUCAUAGCGCCUCCUUGCACCAGCGGAACCACCAGGGAUGCAAUGCCCUCAUGUUGGCGGCCGUGUGUGGAAGCGAGACAGCCGUGGAAAUGCUCAUAAAGGCUGGAAGUAUCUUGGAGACUCGAGACAACAGGGAGUGGACGGCCCUUUUCCAUGCUGUGAAUGCGGGCCAGCCAGGAGCCGUCCACAUCUUGCUACGACACAGAGCCAACGCUAACACUUGCGAGCGGCAGAGUGGCAUGACCCCGCUGAUGCACGCUGCUCGGCUGGGUGACGCUGGCAUAGUGGAAGUGCUGCUUCAGGCCGGGGCUUGUACGACCCUCACCAACCACCGCGGCCACACUGCUGCACGGGUGGCUCAGGACGCUGGGUUCCCGGCCAUUGCUGCCUCCAUCACACACUGGGCCGCACAAGGUCCCCUCGGCCCCAGCCUGCAGGACGGGCCGGCCGCCAUGGAGGCCAAGUUGGGCCACACAGUGAGCCCCAAAUGUAGGGGAGGAGGACCCCCAUGCCUGGACACUGCCAGCGUCCAGCCCACAGACCUCGAGACACUGCUGGACCAGGUGGGCUUAAGCUCCUACCUGGCUGUGUUCCGUAUGCAGGACGUGGAUUUACAGGUGUUUCUGACCCUCACCGACCAGGACCUGAAGGAGUGCGGGAUACAGAAGCUUGGUCCGCGCCGCAAGAUGACAUCCGCCAUCGCCCGCUGGCAUAGCAACGCCCCACUGAGGAGCACGCCCGAAGGUGCCUAUGCCGAUAAGCUGGAGGUGGAGAUGCAGGAGCUGGGCGUGAAGCUUACUCAUGCCCUGAAGGCCCUGGAGCAAGCCAAGGCCAUGGAGAGCCAGGAGAGAGACCUACGCAGCGUGGCCGAGGGGUGGGUGGUGGAGGCUCGGGGACGCCUUUACCAGUGUUACCAUCAGUCACGGGGCCUCUCGGAGCAGCUCAUAACCGUCCAGCAAUGCCUCUCGCUUCUCUCGGCCCAGGCAGGCUUGGUUCAGCUUCCUCCCGGCCAGUCGUCGCUUACGUCCACCGCCAUGGACACGCUAGCAAGGAUGGCAGGCCGGGUGGAGUCGCUUGUGGCACUGACGGACCCCAGCACACCAAGAGCCACAAACAACCUCACCGCCCCCAAUAAGGAGAAGGAGCGUCUCAAUAUGUAUCAUGUACCUGAGAUGGUGAGGCAAGAUGGACCUGGACCAGCUAAUGAGUGUUUUCCUGCAAGCCUCGGCCCGCACCAAGGAGUCCAUCGACCAGCUCAUUGCGGAGAAAACGUUGACAAGGAGAGCGUUGAAAGAUACACACACUUACUGCACCUCCUCAAUGAUGAAAUAAAGGCCAAGAUUAUAAGCGAGCUAAGAAACACCCUUACAGAAGCCUCCCACAAUGAGCUUUGGAGCCUCAGACAUGACCGUGGGGCUGAGGGGGGGGAGCCUGAGGGAGGGGAGACCAUUAUAGACACUCUUCCCUGCACCCAUGACCAAAAACAGCAGGGUCGCGUCUUACUGGGAGCACACUUGGAGGACAUCAUCAUUCGCCCACUGAAAGAAAAGUGGCAGAUGGGGAGCGAGUUGCCUGUGUGUGAGCCUCAGGAAGCUUGUGUUUCGCGUUAUGAGGCUCAAGCUCCCCAGUGUGACAUGGACGAUAUAGAGAGACAAAUAAGUGCACCCUCUCCCUGCUAUGCCGAGCCCCUCCCAGACCUGCUUCCAUGGACUGCCCAGCAUGCCACAACUCCGCACUUCCCCCCUCGCUCUUUCUCCACCCUCCUACCCUCCACAUUCCAACCCAUAGUAGCUCCACAACCAAUAUUCCACCCUGAAGCGCAGUCCCUCCCACGCGUUCUACAAGACUUGCGCUCCUUCCACCCUCAUCCCGUAUCCCUCAAGGAAGCAUUGCCGCCACCUCCUGCAAGCUUAUCGUUCCCUCCAUCGCACCUCUGCCCCCAUGCCCCACCUCUGCCAAGCUUGCCCGGCCCACCACAGUUCUUGUCUGACUUCGCCGCUUCAUCCCAGUUCAUCUCAAGCACCUCACCUCCUUCCCUUGACCUAUUUUUCUCACUCCAGUCCUUCCCAGAGCCUCCUCCUCCUCCUCCUCCUCCUCGUUCAUUCUCUCAGCCCUUGUCUCCCUUUUCGCCAGAGUUUUCACCUUCUGUAAGCUAUUCCUCACAGGUUGGAUGUCCUCCCCCAGGUUUUACCACACCCCUAUCUCUCCCCUUCCCGCACUCCCCUCCUCAAUGCCUGCCAUCCCCCCAGCCCUACCCACAAGCCCUCUCCCCUCCCCCAGGCUUUCACCCACCUCAGUUCCCCCCACAAGCCUUACUUCCUCCCCCAGCCCUUCCUUCACCCCAAAUCUUACCUCUUCCCCCUCCUCCCCCAGGGCUCUUGCCACCCCAGUAUCUCACCCGACCAGCCAUACUCCCUACCACAGGCCUGUCCCAUCCCCUGCCUUUCCUUCCCUCUGUCCAGGCUUAUGAUAAAGUCUGGGGUCAUUUUGAAGGGGUGCCUCUGAUCUUGGCUCCUGCUCCUCCUCCUCCUCCUCCUCCUCCUCCAUCCUUGCAGCCUGUACUAUUGACCUCCAAGGAUAAGAUCCGAACUGAGGUCAAGGAAGGUCAUCUAGCUACUGGAGGGAGAGGAAAAGUGGAUGAAGGGAGAGUAAAAGUGGAUGAAGGGAGAACGAAAGUGGAUGAAGGGAGAGAAAAAGUGGAUGGAGGGAGAGGAAAAGUGGAUGAAGGGAGAGGAAGAGUGGAUGAAGGGAGAGUGAAAGCAGAUGUAGGGAGAACAAAAGUGGAUGAAGGGAGAGUAAAAGUGGAUGAAGGGAGAGUAAAAGUGGAUGGAGGGAGAGGAAAAGUGGAUGAAGGGAGAGUGAAAGUGGAUGAAGGGAGAGGAAAAGUGGAUGAAGGGAGAGUGAAAGUGGAUGAAGGGAGAGUGAAAGUGGAUGAAGGGAGAACAAAAGUGGAUGUAGGGAGAGGAAAAGUGGAUGGAGGGAGAGGAAAAGUGGAUGAAGGGAGAGGAAGAGUGGAUGAAGGGAGAGGAAAAGUGGAUGAAGGGAGAGCAAAAGUGGAUGAAGGGAGAGUAAAAGUGGAUGGAGGGAGAGGAAAAGUGGAUGAAGGGAGAACAAGAGUGGAUGAAGGGAGAACAAAAGUGGAUGAAGGGAGAGGAAAAGUGGAUGAAGGGAGAGAAAAAGUGGAUGAAGGGAGAGGAAGAGUGGAUGAAGGGAGAGCAAAAGUGGAUGAAGGGAGAGGAAAAGUGGAUGAAGGGAGAGGAAAAGUGGACGAAGGGAGAGCAAAAGUGGAUGAAGGGAGAGUAAAAGUGGAUGGAGGGAGAGGAAAAGUGGAUGAAGGGAGAACAAGAGUGGAUGAAGGGAGAACAAAAGUGGAUGAAGGGAGAGGAAAAGUGGAUGAAGGGAGAGAAAAAGUGGAUGAAGGGAGAGGAAAAGUGGAUGAAGGGAGAGGAAAAGUGGAUGAAGGGAGAACAAAAGUGGAUGAAGGGAGAACAAGAGUGGAUGAAGGGAGAGGAAGAGGGAAUGGAGCAAGAGCAAAAGUGGAUACAGGUACAAACAAAGUGGAUAAAGGAAAAAAAAAACUCGACAAAGGAAAACCAAGAAUGAACUCUAAGGAUGACCCAGUGUCCAGAAGCAAGUGUUCACGCGCCCACAAUGCUCAGAGGGCAUGUAAAGUCAACACCAAGGAAGACUACAUACCCUUCGUCUCUCGUGCUGAAAGACUUGCAGUUGAGAAGCAUUCAGAUGUCCCAUGGAGUUCAGAAGCUUGGGUCACCUCUGAAGGGAAAGCAGAAGGGGCUACCAGGAUAGAUGCAAUACCAGAAAGGGAUUUUGCAAGCACCCACAGCCCUCCAGACAGCUUGAACACGUCGCAGUGGACCAUCGAAAGCCUGGAUGAAACUUUCGAGGAUUAUGUGUCAGAGGAUGCAAUGAUACCAGUUGGCGCGCUUCCCUCAGUGGACCUACCCAUGCCUUACGUGUCUCCUUAUGAUCACGUAGAGGAGGCGGUGCUCUCGUAUGCAAAGAAUCCAGCCCAUUUUUACCUGGUACUUGGGCGAGAGGGCACGGACACAGUGCAAAAACUGUCGGAGGAUCUGGAGGAGAUGUACGGCGAUGACGAUGAGUCUCUGAAGGUGUGGGAGCUGCCGAUCGGGUCCUGCUGGGCGGUUCGCUGGACUGACGGCCGCUGGUACAGAGGAAAGGUCAUGGCCAACAUUGCCCCCAAGAGAAAGAAGAGCGGCUGGUGGGUGAGGGUGCUGCUGGUGGACACGGGUGAGGACGGGGAGGUGCCCACGCAGAACAUACGGGUGCUGGAUGGCAUCUUCGCCCUGCUGCCGUGUCAGGCCCUCCCGUGUCACCUGGUGGAGGUGUUCCCGGUGCAGCAGUGGGAGCUUGAGCCUUGGCCGAGCAGCACCACCCAGGCCUUCGUGGGGCUGUGUGGGGGCUUCAGGUCUCCCCUCACAGCGCACAUCCACGCUCGCUGCCUGGACGGCACUUUCGGAGUUAUCCUGGAGCGCAGUGACGGUGAGUUGGUCAACUUCCUCAUGGUGCGUCAAGGCCUGGCUACCUCACAGCUGCUGGAGGAGUUAGUGGAGAGUGAAAACAUAGAUGAAGAUAUGAUUUCUAGGGUGUUAGGCACCCUUGAGGAGGAGGCAUCUGAAAGCCGACACGAUGAACUGAUUCCUAGUGAGUGGGACCCCAUGUCGGAGGCGUACAGGAGCAGCAGCAACAUGGUAUAUCACGAUGAUGAGUGCGCUGAGACCGUUCUGCUGGGCUGGAGGAACACGGAUGAGGAACGACAGUGCAAGUACCACCGGGCCGGCCUCUGGUGCCCCCGGGGAAAGGCCUGCCCAUGGGAACACAUGUCAGUAAGGAGAGAUGUCACUGUUGAGAAGGAGAAGGUCUUGGAGAGGGGGUUCCUGAGCUGCGCCUUGCCCGCCAAAGACUCCCUCGUGGCUGUUACUGUGAUGUCUGUUACCUCCCCGUCCCAUUUCUACGUCCACUUGCAUUACGGAACCAAGGACCUUAAGUGUUUAGUACCCGGGAAUCAAGGGGACGCUGAACUGGAAGUGUUACUGGUGGGCAUGCAGAAACACUACAGCAUGGGCCGAAACCGUCGCCGUAGGAACCCAGCUCUGGGCGCCCCGGGAGAGCUCAUGGUGCUUCUGGAGGGCGUGCCGGAGAAGCCAGACUGCUCCCGGGUGCUGGUACUGGAGGUGGAUGACUGCAGGGACGACGGAUGCAGGGUGAAGGUUUUCUUCCUUGACCUUGGCUACGAAGAAUGGGUAUCAGACGAGAGCCUCCUUCCCAUGCCUUCACAGUUCGCUUUCUUGGCCCCACAGGCCGUGGAGUGCUGGCUCGCUUGGGUAGAUCCACCGGGAGACGGCUGGAGUCCCGAGGCUGUCGAGAUAUUUAAGGAGAUGGUGAUGGGCCGCCAGCUCUUCGCCACUGUUGUUGACGUUGACAGCGAUCACCAGCGAGUGGGUGUGUUGCUUCACGAGAUCGACACUUACCCCGACACUUUCAUGAACGGGCACUUCCUGGCGGCCGUUCUGAAGCUGGAAGAUGACGAGCCUUUUGUCAUCGUCAUAGGAGAGGAGGAAGAUGUUGAAGAGAGAAAAUGGAUUCGUGGAGUUGGUUCCAAGUGAUUCCUGUUCUGUGGGGCGUCCCGUCAUGGAAGUCUUUAAAGGGGGCUACUUCUGGGCACUGUAGGGUCUAGCCAAGGUUCUUGCAUACACACUUGAUGCACAGCAGACUGAGUUAGGGUAAAAGGCUUCCAUCCUCUCCAGCCAUUAAACCCAGUAAGUCAGGAUUCAGUUCACCUUACAUGGUUUUGGUUUUAUGUGAUACCCAGUGGUGUUUAUGUUUCAAGUUUAUAUUGAGGAAAAAACAAGGAAUAUAUCGUCACCCUAAUAAAAUAAUCGCCUAAGUCAUUUUUCAGUGAUUUCCAGGUUUUUGUCUACAUCAAUUUUUCAACAUGACGCUCAUUUUUGUAGAGUUGCCUCCGUCAUUCAGGGUUUGAGUGUUCUAGAAUUCGCCUUUUCAUUUCUGCCUAAAUCUUAAGCCAAAUGAGAUAAUGACUGUUCUGAUUUCCUGUAAAGUAGAAAAUAGUGACUUACGCGGUUUGUUUACGAAGGUGACGAUAUACUUCAGUCAUCCCUCAAAUAGUACGGUUUUCAAUAGUUCGGUUUCAGUUUUUCGUGGAUUUUCAUGAAGAUUUUUUUAGAAUGUUUGAAUUUCUCGAUGAGCAGGAAAUUUAAAAAUCCUAAAAAGAUCCAUGACAAUCCGUAUAAAACCAAAACUGAACUAGUAUUGGAAGCCGUACUAUUUGAGGGACGACUGUAUUUGAGUAUAUUCCAUUAAGUUUGUGGAAACGUCACACAAGGCUUGAGCCAUCACGGUUAUGUAGUUAGACCAGCCACACACACAUGCUCAGGGGGUUGAUGGAGUGCCUCACCUUGCGCCAGUGUUUAUAUAGUUCCUCCGGGCUUUCUGAAUUAUUGAAAAACUCUUGCAUUGUUUUUUUCAGUUUUAAUUGUAUAACUUCCAUAUUUGGUGGUCAAAUAUUUUAAUUCUGGCAACGGAAUCUAUAGUUUUUUAAUUCUUUGUUUAAAUCCUGCAGAAAUGUGUUUAUGCAGUCUUAAUUUUGUAGUUUUAUCAUUUGGUGGGUCAGAAAUGAUUUUUUUGAUAACGGAAUCUAUUUUUUAUUUUAUUUUAACAUAUGUGGAGGAGAGCAUAGGGAUGAAGUUGACUCAUACAAGGUUGCGGCCCACUGCAUGCGGUUUGCUGGGAGGGUUGAGGGUAGCGGGUUGCCUAGCAGGUCAGCGGCAAGAACAAACACAUGUGAUCUGAUACGAGUGGGUAAGCUUGGAGGGAACCUGUUACCCGCGUCCGGUAUGGCCACUCGUAUUAGAUAACGUGUUUGUUCUUGCCGCUGACCCACUAGGCAACCCGCUACCCUCUACCCUCCCAGCAAACCGCAUGCAGUGUGGCCGCACCCUUACAGUGGAAAUGGUGAGUGUGUUGUUGGAACAUGUGCCGGGCAUCAAAGGACAGUGUUCAUUGAGUCUGAAUCUCCCUGCACAGGUUUUGUUCACUCGGCUGUGUUGUUGCAUGUGCUUAGUGCCUCAGGGCCGCUUUCACAAUCACCGUUUGUUUUGAUCGUUACCAAUGGCGGCGAUUGACGCUAUAGUUUUCCACGUGAAACUGGCCUUUGGGGUAGUGGCGGCUGCUGCAGAGGAAGCGAGAGGUGUUGAGUGGGUGUGGCAAGGUGCGGGGCUAGGCUAACCCCGCAGCCCCCACUACCCCAUCGGCCAGUUUCACAUGGAAAUACUAUAGCAGCGAUAACAGCCAUUGGUGACGAUCAAAACAAGCAAAACGACUGUGAAAGCGGCCAUUAGUCUGUAAGAAACCAGGUAAACUCUGUCAGCCGUCACAGUUUGAGAUGAAUUGAUGCAAGACAUGUAAUUUUUGCAUGCCAAGGCUGUGGCUGAGGUGUCGCUUGGCAAAUUAUGCACUCAAACUGUGAAUUAUGAAGUCAUGUGAAAUUAGUGACAAUCUCAUACUUCAUGUGAAAUUAAACAUGAAUAUAAAAGAUGAAAAGCAAAAACACAUUUCUGUACUCCACUCUGCGUUGUGUGAACUGGUGGGAAGGGACUUGAGGCUCACGGACAGGUGGGGAGUGAGUCUUACAUCAGAGUAUUUUUAUUAUUAUUAUUAUUAUUAUUUUUUACAGUAGAGGAGACAGUGCA